GAUGAACGCUAGCGACAGGCUUAACACAUGCAAGUCGAGGGGCAGCAUAAAGAUAGCUUGCUAUCUUGGUGGCGACCGGCGCACGGGUGAGUAACACGUAUGCAACCUGCCUGUAUCUGGGGGAUAGCCUCCUGAAAGGGAGAUUAAUACCGCAUAAUACAUCGAAAGGGCAUCCUUUUGAUGUUAAACAUUUAUGGGAUACUGAUGGGCAUGCGUAACAUUAGCUAGUUGGUGAGGUAACGGCUCACCAAGGCAACGAUGUUUAGGGGUUCUGAGAGGAAGGUCCCCCACACUGGUACUGAGACACGGACCAGACUCCUACGGGAGGCAGCAGUGAGGAAUAUUGGUCAAUGGACGCAAGUCUGAACCAGCCAAGUCGCGUGAAGGAAGAAUGCGUUAUGCGUUGUAAACUUCUUUUAUAUGGGAAUAAAGUGCACCACGUGUGGUGUUUUGUAUGUACCAUAUGAAUAAGGACCGGCUAACUCCGUGCCAGCCGCCGCGGUAACAC
RNAcentral lists this ribosomal RNA (508 nucleotides) under uncultured bacterium. RNAcentral's name for it is "bacterial SSU rRNA". It matches the Rfam family "Bacterial small subunit ribosomal RNA", at positions 28 to 526 of the family's 1533-position model. The record is from RNAcentral.